CCUACGGGAGGCAGCAGUGGGGAAUAUUGGGCAAUGGGCGCAAGCCUGACCCAGCCACGCCGCGUGAAGGAAGACGGCUCUCGGGUUGUAAAAUUCUUUUGUUAGGGACGAAACAAGUGACGGUACCUGACGUAUAAGCCUCGGCUAACUACGUGCCAGCAGUAGCGGGUAUACGUCGGUGGCAGGCGUUCUCCGGAUUUACUGGGUGUAAAGGGUUGGUAGGGGGGGAAGCAAGGCAGAUGUUAAAACCACGGGGUCAACCUGUGGCCUGCAUGUGAAACUGUUUUUCUUGAGUGCUGGAGAGGCAAGCGGAAGGCCGGGUGUAGCGGGGAAAUGCGUAGAUAUACGGAGGAACACCGGUGGCGAAGGCAGAUUACUGGACAGUAACUGACGCUGAGGCGCGAAAGCGUGGGGAGCAAACAGGAUUAGAUACCCCGGUAGUC
Molecule: ribosomal RNA, 443 nt
Filed under: uncultured bacterium
Lineage: Bacteria
Description: partial 16S ribosomal RNA
Rfam family: Bacterial small subunit ribosomal RNA
Source: RNAcentral